AUGAACGCUGGCGGCGUGCCUAAUACAUGCAAGUCGAGCGAACAGACGAGGAGCUUGCUCCUCUGACGUUAGCGGCGGACGGGUGAGUAACACGUGGAUAACCUACCUAUAAGACUGGGAUAACUUCGGGAAACCGGAGCUAAUACCGGAUAAUAUAUUGAACCGCAUGGUUCAAUAGUGAAAGACGGUUUUGCCGUCACUUAUAGAUGGAUCCGCGCCGCAUUAGCUAGUUGGUAAGGUAACGGCUUACCAAGGCGACGAUGCGUAGCCGACCUGAGAGGGGGAUCGGCCACACUGGAACUGAGACACGGUCCAGACUCCUACGGGAGGCAGCAGUAGGGAAUCUUCCGCAAUGGGCGAAAGCCUGACGGAGCAACGCCGCGUGAGUGAUGAAGGUCUUCGGAUCGUAAAACUCUGUUAUUAGGGAAGAACAAAUGUGUAAGUAACUAUGCACGUCUUGACGGUACCUAAUCAGAAAGCCACGGCUAACUACGUG
RNAcentral lists this ribosomal RNA (496 nucleotides) under uncultured bacterium. RNAcentral's name for it is "partial 16S ribosomal RNA". It matches the Rfam family "Bacterial small subunit ribosomal RNA", at positions 29 to 507 of the family's 1533-position model. The record is from RNAcentral.